RNAcentral lists this ribosomal RNA (102 nucleotides) under Pteropus alecto (black flying fox). Lineage: Eukaryota; Metazoa; Chordata; Mammalia; Chiroptera; Pteropodidae. The record is from RNAcentral.
GUUUACGGCCAUGCUACCCUGAAGAUCUCAGAAGCUAAGCAGGGUUGGGCCUGGUUAGUACUUGGAUAGGAGAUUACCUAGGAAGACCAGUUGCUGUAGGUG